RNAcentral lists this ribosomal RNA (458 nucleotides) under uncultured bacterium. RNAcentral describes it as "partial 16S ribosomal RNA". It matches the Rfam family "Bacterial small subunit ribosomal RNA", at positions 338 to 795 of the family's 1533-position model. The record is from RNAcentral.
CCUACGGGAGGCUGCAGUGAGGAAUAUUGGUCAAUGGGCGAGAGCCUGAACCAGCCAAGUCGCGUGAGGGAGUACUGCCCUAUGGGUUGUAAACCUCUUUUGUCGGGGAGCAAAAGCCGGACGUGUCCGGCUGUGAGAGUACCCGAAGAAAAAGCAUCGGCUAACUCCGUGCCAGCAGCCGCGGUAAUACGGAGGAUGCGAGCGUUAUCCGGAUUUAUUGGGUUUAAAGGGUGCGUAGGCGGAUCGUUAAGUCAGUGGUCAAAUUGAGGGGCUCAACCCCUUCCCGCCAUUGAAACUGGCGUUCUUGAGUGGAAGAGAAGUAUGCGGAAUGCGUGGUGUAGCGGUGAAAUGCAUAGAUAUCACGCAGAACCCCGAUUGCGAAGGCAGCAUGCCGGCUUCCGACUGACGCUGAAGCACGAAAGCGUGGGGAUCGAACAGGAUUAGAUACCCUUGUAGUC